AGCGAACGCUGGCGGCAGGCCUAACACAUGCAAGUCGAACGAACCUUUCGGGGUUAGUGGCGGACGGGUGAGUAACACGUGGGAACGUGCCUUUAGGUUCGGAAUAACUCAGGGAAACUUGUGCUAAUACCGAAUGUGCCCUUCGGGGGAAAGAUUUAUCGCCUUUAGAGCGGCCCGCGUCUGAUUAGCUAGUUGGUUGAGGUAAUGGCUCACCAAGGCGACGAUCAGUAGCUGGUCUGAGAGGACGAUCAGCCACAUUGGGACUGGGACACGGCCCAAACUCCUACGGGAGGCAGCAGCGGGGAAUCUUGCGCAAUGGGCGAAAGCCUGACGCAGCCAUGCCGCGUGAAUGAUGAAGGUCUUAGGAUUGUAAAAUUCUUUCACCGGGGACGAUAAUGACGGUACCCGGAGAAGAAGCCCCGGCUAACUUCGUG
This 434-nucleotide ribosomal RNA is filed under the name uncultured bacterium. RNAcentral describes it as "partial 16S ribosomal RNA". It matches the Rfam family "Bacterial small subunit ribosomal RNA", at positions 29 to 507 of the family's 1533-position model. The record is from RNAcentral.